RNAcentral lists this ribosomal RNA (440 nucleotides) under uncultured bacterium. RNAcentral's name for it is "bacterial SSU rRNA". It matches the Rfam family "Bacterial small subunit ribosomal RNA", at positions 338 to 794 of the family's 1533-position model. The record is from RNAcentral.
CCUACGGGGGGCUGCAGUCGAGAAUCUUCCGCAAUGGGCGCAAGCCUGACGGAGCGACGCCGCGUGCGGGACGAAGGCCUUCGGGUUGUAAACCGCUGUCAGGGGGGACCAAACAAUGAGGUAUCCCCAGAGGAAGCUCGGGCUAAGUUCGUGCCAGCAGCCGCGGUAAGACGAACCGAGCGAACGUUGUUCGGAAUCACUGGGCUUAAAGGGCGCGUAGGCGGCCUGCAUAGUCGGGGGUGAAAUCUUUCGGCUUAACCGGAAAAGUGCCUUCGAUACUAGCAGGCUCGAGGGAGGUAGGGGCAGAUGGAACUUCCAGUGGAGCGGUGAAAUGCGUUGAUAUUGGAAGGAACGCCGGUGGCGAAAGCGAUCUGCUGGACCUCUUCUGACGCUGAGGCGCGAAAGCUAGGGUAGCAAACGGGAUUAGAUACCCUAGUAGU